RNAcentral lists this ribosomal RNA (524 nucleotides) under uncultured bacterium. RNAcentral's name for it is "partial 16S ribosomal RNA". It matches the Rfam family "Bacterial small subunit ribosomal RNA", at positions 28 to 523 of the family's 1533-position model. The record is from RNAcentral.
GACGAACGCUGGCGGCGUGCCUAAUACAUGCAAGUCGAACGAAGCUGUUUUAACUGGUGCUUGCACCGACUUAAACAACUGAGUGGCGAAUGGGUGAGUAACACGUGGGUAACCUGCCCCAAAGCGGGGGAUAACAUUUGGAAACAGAUGCUAAUACCGCAUAACCACAGAAACCACAUGGUUUCUGUGUCAAAGAUGGUUUCGGCUAUCACUUUGGCAUGGACCCGCGGCGUAUUAGCUAGUUGGUAAGGUAAUGGCUUACCAAGGCAAUGAUACGUAGCCGAACUGAGAGGUUGAUCGGCCACAUUGGGACUGAGACACGGCCCAAACUCCUACGGGAGGCAGCAGUAGGGAAUCUUCCACAAUGGACGAAAGUCUGAUGGAGCAACGCCGCGUGAGUGAAGAAGGUUUUCGGAUCGUAAAACUCUGUUGUCAGAGAAGAACGUGUGCGAGAGUAACUGCUCGUGCAGUGACGGUAUCUGGCCAGAAAGCCACGGCUAACUACGUGCCAGCCGCCGCGGUAA